RNAcentral lists this ribosomal RNA (241 nucleotides) under uncultured Staphylococcus sp. RNAcentral describes it as "partial 16S ribosomal RNA". It matches the Rfam family "Bacterial small subunit ribosomal RNA", at positions 99 to 334 of the family's 1533-position model. The record is from RNAcentral. Lineage: Bacteria; Bacillati; Bacillota; Bacilli; Caryophanales; Staphylococcaceae.
CGGACGGGUGAGUAACACGUGGAUAACCUACCUAUAAGACUGGGAUAACUUCGGGAAACCGGAGCUAAUACCGGAUAAUAUUUUGAACCGCAUGGUUCAAAAGUGAAAGACGGUCUUGCUGUCACUUAUAGAUGGAUCCGCGCUGCAUUAGCUAGUUGGUAAGGUAACGGCUUACCAAGGCAACGAUGCAUAGCCUACCUGAGAGGGUUAUCGGCCACACUGGAACUGAGACACGGUCCAG